This is a long non-coding RNA of Octopus sinensis (East Asian common octopus), 152 nucleotides long. RefSeq lists it as uncharacterized. Lineage: Eukaryota; Metazoa; Mollusca; Cephalopoda; Octopoda; Octopodidae. The transcript is spliced from 3 exons. The record is from RefSeq and is a predicted model, not a curated record.
GAGCCGUGAAUGAACAACCACACUUGACAAAUGCCAAGAGGCGAAUAACGUUCUCUCUCCUAUCAGUAAAAUAGAACACCCAGUGCGUAUCAGUACGCAGUGCCGCGUCACAUUAAAAUAGAAUAGAUAUGCUUCACAAUUGACUUAUUCUU